GAUGAACGCUGGCGGCGUGCUUAACACAUGCAAGUCGAACGAAGAGGCCCCUUCGGGGGUACUUCAGUGGCGGACGGGUGAGUAACACGUGGGCAACCUGCCUAUAAGACUGGGAUAACUUCGGGAAACCGGAGCUAAUACCGGAUAAUUCAUAUCUACUCAUGUAGAUAUGCUGAAAGACGGUUUACGCUGUCACUUAUAGAUGGGCCCGCGGCGCAUUAGCUAGUUGGUGAGGUAAUGGCUCACCAAGGCCACGAUGCGUAGCCGACCUGAGAGGGUGAUCGGCCACACUGGGACUGAGACACGGCCCAGACACCUACGGGUGGCAG
RNAcentral lists this ribosomal RNA (329 nucleotides) under uncultured Bacillota bacterium. Its description in RNAcentral is "bacterial SSU rRNA". It matches the Rfam family "Bacterial small subunit ribosomal RNA", at positions 28 to 351 of the family's 1533-position model. Lineage: Bacteria; Bacillati; Bacillota. The record is from RNAcentral.